Long non-coding RNA from Pleuronectes platessa (European plaice), 659 nucleotides. RefSeq lists it as uncharacterized. NCBI's taxonomy places the organism in Eukaryota, Metazoa, Chordata, Actinopteri, Pleuronectiformes, Pleuronectidae. The record is from RefSeq and is a predicted model, not a curated record. The transcript has 3 exons.
GACAUGACGUGUGGCUGUCGUAAAAACCCUAUUUGUAAACAACCAGUCCUUUAACUAAGCGCUACGUCAUAAACACGGCGCGCUUGGAAGACCACGAUAUCAUCUUCCUUCUGUCAGGAGGAUCCCAGUGAAGCUACAGGAGUUUCAUUAACGUCAACAACUUGGACCGAACGGUUUGUUUUGCUUGAUGAAGAGCAGGAAGGGCAGCCUGGAGAGAAAGAGAAGCCGGGUUGAGCCCACUACCAUCAUCCACGUACCACGAGGAAGAUGAGGGAGAGAAAUGAUCCUACCAUUAAAGAGACUGUGAAAAGAACGUUGAGAACAUCACCACUCUACAGGAAGACACAGUCCAGUAAUGGGUGUCAGAAUUUCAGUAGUGAACGACAGGUACUGUGGAAAAAUGUGUGUCAUUGUUGUACAAUGUCCUUUGACUCUGUUUACACAAGGUUAACACAAAAAGGUUUGAUUGUAAACUGAUAUUGGUAUGAAUUCAUGUUAUUCUCCUCUUCACAAGAAACAAACAAUCCAAAUUACCUGCAGAAAGCCCUUGAUGGACGCUUCAGCUGCAUCGUCAGACUGGCCAGACAGCAAGAUGCCAACUUUAAUGCCAAUUUAUUUGUGUAACAUUCUGUGACCAAAUGUAUUGAUAACUUUUUGUA